RNAcentral lists this ribosomal RNA (301 nucleotides) under uncultured bacterium. Its description in RNAcentral is "partial 16S ribosomal RNA". It matches the Rfam family "Bacterial small subunit ribosomal RNA", at positions 509 to 807 of the family's 1533-position model. The record is from RNAcentral.
CAGUAGCCGCGGGAAAACGUAGGUGGCAAGCGUUGUCCGGAAUUAUUGGGCGUAAAGGGCUCGCAGGCGGUUUCUUAAGUCUGAUGUGAAAGCCCCCGGCUCAACCGGGGAGGGUCAUUGGAAACUGGGAAACUUGAGUGCAGAAGAGGAGAGUGGAAUUCCACGUGUAGCGGUGAAAUGCGUAGAGAUGUGGAGGAACACCAGUGGCGAAGGCGACUCUCUGGUCUGUAACUGACGCUGAGGAGCGAAAGCGUGGGGAGCGAACGGGAUUAGAUACCCGGGUAGUCCCUGUCUCUUAUAC